RNAcentral lists this transfer RNA (91 nucleotides) under Tetraena simplex. RNAcentral describes it as "tRNA-Tyr". It matches the Rfam family "tRNA". From Rfam's summary of the family: Transfer RNA (tRNA) molecules are approximately 80 nucleotides in length. The record is from RNAcentral. Lineage: Eukaryota; Viridiplantae; Streptophyta; Magnoliopsida; Zygophyllales; Zygophyllaceae.
GGGUCGAUGCCCGAGUGGCUAAUGGGAGCAGGGGGCGGACUGUAAAUUCGUUGGCAAGAUGCCUACGCUGGUUCAAAUCCAGCUCGGCCCA